Molecule: long non-coding RNA, 466 nt
Organism: Mauremys reevesii (Reeves's turtle)
Lineage: Eukaryota; Metazoa; Chordata; Testudines; Geoemydidae
Exons: 3
Source: RefSeq, a predicted model, not a curated record
ACCUGGAAACACCCAAGGAACAAAGACUGAACUGGGGGGAGUGAUGGUCCCAGGGUAAAAUAAUUUCUACCCUGAGAAACCCAAGCUGCAAAGUCAAGGCAGCUUCUGCCUUAAGAAUCUGCCAGUCUGUUUAUCACUCAGGAUGAAAAUUUGCUGGUUUAUAUCCUACCUAUCUACUGUGUUAAGGCCAGUUUGCAGUUUUGUUUAUUUACUAGAGAUCCAUCACCACCCACAACAGCUAUGUGGCAACAUGUCACCACAAUUUACAAAGGAAAACAUCACAAUUCUCCCGAGAUGAAAUUUGCAGCUUCUUGGAGCCCUAGUCAUAGACCCAGACCCCGCUGUAGGUGUUAUAGAAUCACAGAACAGAAAGAUGGCUCUGGCCCCAAAGGAUUACAAUCUAAGUAUAAGACAGGAGACAACAGAUGGAUAUAGACAGACAUCCACAGUGUGGCAGGUACUAUCC